GGAAAUGUGUCUCUAAGAGAGCCAUUUGGAUUUCACCCGCACACUUACGUAAGAGUGCGGGUGAUUUGAAUGCUCCAGCCCUCACGCUGGAUAUCUCCUCCCAUAUUACGCCGGCUACCUGAAGGAGGAUCCGCCAUUUUCUCGCUUCACUUGUAUGCGACAGCCUGACUGCUGGCAUGUACAACCCGAAAGCCAAGCACUCCUGCUCUGUCGUCGGAUGUACGGACACUCAUGUUUCCCUACAUCGCCUCCCUACCAAAGAGGAUAUCAGAGCGAAGUGGCUAAAUAUUAUUUUUCAGGGAAACGUCCCAGCUUCACUGAGCAAAAGCGUUGUUGUCUGUGCCAAUCACUUCACACUGGACUGUUUCAGCAACCAGGGUCAGUAUCAGGCUGGACUGGCAACGAGAUUGUUCCUCAAAGAUGGAUCGAUACCCACUGUCCGUGUCAACGCCACAGAAGAAGUAACUCAAAGCACAUUUGUACAGCAGCCAGUGGUGCAUCAUGUUGCCUGCCAGACAGACCAACCAGUGAAAUGCACGGUUGGCACACAGCUGUCCAUGAGAACUCUCCGGCCUCACUUCAGAAGCUCAGGCACACAGAAAUCAGUGUCCUGUGCUGAUGUUGGAGUUGGCACCUCAAACAUUCCCUUCUCAACUUCCUAUCAUCAACCCCAAUCAAGAGACCAUGCAAAAGGGCUCGCUUGGAACUGGAGGAGGAGGAAGAAGAGGAUCCAUUGGAGGGCAGUUCAUUCAUGGACAUUCCCGACCCCAAGGAUUCUACGUAUAAUCCUGAGGAAUCUGUCACAGUUUUGUCUGAGUCAGUAGAUGUGACACUGGAGCCUUCCUGCCCUGUUCAUAAGACACCAACAUAUAUUGUCUAUGAAAAGUGUCUGAUGGAGCUGUUUGAGAUGUGCCCUGUCUGUCAGCGUGUUUCAGACGUUCAGACAAGAAGGAUAGGCACUUUCCUCUCUGUAGAACAGACAUGCCCACAUUGUCAGUUCUUCAGAAACUGGAACAGCCAGCCAAUUCUGGGAAGCAUACCAGCAGGAAACCUCCAGCUCUCAGCUGCAGUAUACACCACAGGAGCAUCUUUCUUUAAACUUGAAAAGAUCUUCCGGGCAAUGCAGCUGAAGAUGUUUCAGUAUGACACUUUUCGCCGUCAUGCA
This is a long non-coding RNA of Acanthopagrus latus (yellowfin seabream), 1165 nucleotides long. RefSeq lists it as uncharacterized. The transcript is spliced from 5 exons. Lineage: Eukaryota; Metazoa; Chordata; Actinopteri; Spariformes; Sparidae. The record is from RefSeq and is a predicted model, not a curated record.